Non-coding RNA from Myodes glareolus (Bank vole), 4395 nucleotides. The record is from RefSeq and is a predicted model, not a curated record. Lineage: Eukaryota; Metazoa; Chordata; Mammalia; Rodentia; Cricetidae.
GGGCUAGUUCGCGCCGGGCACCCCGCAGCGGACCGGCAACGUGGAGGCAGCCGUUGGCGCAACCAACGGCGCGGACCAGGGCGGUGUGGGGCCGCUGGAGGAUGCGACGCCCAUGGACGCCUAUUUGCUCAAACUGGGCUUGUAUUGGAAAUUGGUCGCCAAGGCCGGGUCGUGCUUGUUCAGGGCUGUGGCCGAACAGGUGAAGGGACUGGGCCAGAACUGGACGGGCUUGGAGCUGGGUGCGACACGCUACCCGCAGCUGCUUGGCCGCCCACGGCAGGGCCGCAUGUGGCUCGCUGGCAGGGUCUGUUAGUUUUCUGACGUUGCUGUGACCACAAAGCCUGAGUGAAUUGACUUCAGGGAAGACUUACUGUGGUUCGUGGUUCCUGAGGGUCCCAUCCAUCAGCUCACAGAGAGCAUGGUACAGCAGCUGAGUUGAUGGCAUGAGACACACAUGGUGGAGACCCCAGAGUUCAGGGCAGUAGCAGCGGCAGGUGUAACCCACAAAGCCCUUGCCUUUGACUGCUUCUACCAGGGAGGCUCUUUUUCCUACAGACUCCACAGGUUCCCAAAAACAGCACCACCAGCGAGCGGGCAAACAUUCAAAACCGGCAUUUCAGACUCAAGCCACAACCGAUGACAGAGGUUUCAACACAUACACCAGCCAUGAAAUACUUUGGCCUUGGAGUACACCUUCCAUCCACCUUAGGUUCCAUGGCAUGUGGCUGCAUUGAGGCACAAUGCACCAAGCUCUAAAACCCAUAAUACUCACCUGCUUUCAGUGAACCCCGAGACAAGGACAAACUGCAGCGUCUGAGCCAGGCCGUCCAGCGUCACUGGAUGUGUGGAGGAUACGUGAAAGGGCAACCUCUCACUGAACGGACAGGAUGUCUGGGGACGCUGCGCCCUUGGAAGGUGGAGCUGUACAGGAAUGAAGUCGCAGUCUUCCAAAUUAUUAUGCAUCCUGAGGGGAGUUCCAAGCUCCUGAAGCUUUCCACCUGGAGGAUGGGAACAGAUGUGGGGUUUGUUCUUCGUUUCUUUUUUCCAUUCCAACUGGAUGGAAAAUGCCUAUAGUGACUGUAUUUUAAGUUGGAGUAUUUCUGAAUCUGCAUCAACUCCCGACAAGCCAGUCUACACAUUAGCAUGGGUGUACUUCUGGUACUCAACUUCGGCAGCACAUAUACUAAAAUUGGAACGGUGCAGAGAAGAUUAGUAUGGUCGCCCCCGCACGUGGAGGACACGCAAAUUCGUUAAGCGUUUCAUACUUUUUUUUUUAAAAGAGUAUUUGGGAGCCUUACCAGGGUUGUCUAAUUGUUCCUUCUGUUUUAUAAUGGAUCACUGGUGAGUGUGCCCAGUUUUCAGUUAUAGUAGCUGUUUUAUGGUGGAUGGUUCAGGAUGCCUAGUCAUUUAUUGUCCACACGUGUGAUGUUUUACUUCUAUCAGGAAUAGAUGAGCUAAAAAUGGCUUUUCAAAUGAAGAAUGGUGAUAGUGUGGGCUUCUUCCAAAACCAACAGUGCUUUCUCUGCAGUUUGGGGUCUCCAAACAACACCUUUGUGACAUGCACACAUCCUGUGAUGCUGGACAUCCUGGCUCAGAUGCUGCAGUUGUCCUUGUCUCAGGAUUCACUGAAAGCAGCUGCUGGAUUUGGUUGCUGUUCCUUGUUCAAGCAGAGGAUUUGAUCUGUCGUUGGUGUUGAACAUCUGAACAGAAACGCCACAAGUGGACUCAUUUCUUUUGAAGUUCUGUGGAAAUUCCAGAAGCGUGGGUGAGGAAGUCACGGGCCGGGUCCUCCGGGGUGGGGGUGGGGGGGGGAGACUCGCCUGCCAGAGCAGGGGGAGGGAGUCACUGGCUUCCAUCUGCAGGUGGGAUCCCCCCAGGUCACCCCGGCUGUCGGGGCCAUGGUGCAGCCAAGACUUUAGGCAACCCUCAAGUGAGCAGCGACUGCACCGUGGUGGACCGGGUGCAUGCUUUUUAGCCGGCGAGGAUGCAGCCAGCAUCUGCGAGCACCCCGAGUGGUCGCCACUUUGGCAGCCGCAACCACAGCCGAGAAUGCGGUGCAAGCGGCUGCUGAAUUUUCCCCUGUAGAGAGCCAGAGAAGAAGAAAAACCAAAAAGAGAAGGCACCAAAAUCUCGGCUUGGUUCGUUUUUUGAGCUGUUCAAAACUAAUUUGUUUAUGAAAAUGACCUGUGUCUGUGAUCGGAACAACUGGAGGCGAUGGAUCCGACCCCUGCUCGUACUUAUUUACUUAAUUUCCAUCCUCGUCUCGGUUCCCUUGUGUGUUUGGAAACUUCAAAAAGUAAAGAUAGGAGGGUCCAGCACCUCUACCCUUUCCUAAGCUAGUUGGCAGAAUCCCUUUGCCCUCUCAUGCUUGGGGUCUGAAAACCUUUUUGUCUUUGAACAUACAACCCGUCUGAUUUCUGAUUUCAUUUUGCCGCUACAACUAGAGGUGGGACUGGGUGGAGAAAAUAGUUAACAUUGUUGCUGAGAAUACUUUGCCAAUACCUACCCAUCAAUUCUCAGAGAACUCUUCUUGAAAUCAGAUCUGCUGUGCAUUUAUUGGUCUUAACCAGAUAAAAUAAACUCCCUUGAAAGCUACAUUAUGGAUUUUAGAAGCUCUUCCUGAAACAAAAGGAUUCCCUUUAUUUUGACUUGCUAAUUGUUUUUACGUUUGAAGUUAAGUCUUUUAUUGAUUUCUUUCUUUAAUGGGAUAAAGUCUCAUGUAGACCAUGCUCUUUGAAAUUUGCCUUGUAGCCUAGAGUAAUCCUCCAAGCAAAUUCAGAGCGCUUCUGAUUAUUGAACGCUGGGGAUGUGUAAUGAGCGUGGAACCAGAUUCCUCUGAAUGAAUAAAGAAAGGGGAAUCUGUAGUGUAGAUAGAACAGGAAAUUUAUAGAAUAAAAAUAAAUGCAACUUGGUGUAAUGUAAAAGCAUUUCUUCCUGUGUGUGGUAUGGAAAAUUACUAAGGUAAAAUAUUAAGAGAACAAUUGCCCAUUUGAAGGCUGCCACACCCAUCCGUCCCUACCAGAUGGAGAGGCUGCAUCCAGCAACUGUGGUAACGAAAUAAUCUUGCCACACAAGAGGGACCCCCACCCUUCUGUGGCCAGUCGAUAUUGAUAACCUAGGACACCUGGUUAUUGGAAGAAUCAAGCGAAGGGCAGUUUUGAACUGACUUAAAAGAGGGGGCUGAAGCAGAAUGGUUAUCUCACUUCUCACGAUGGCUCAGGUAUCUGGCCUCGUGGAAAGAGAGAUCCUCCAAGCCUGCCUCCCGAAAAGCAGAAAUAUUAAACGCCUUGCCUAAACAUCUAAUGCUCUGUCUCCCGAGUACAGAGCUUCAUAUCCCGAAAACAGACAUUUAACGCCUUGCAUCCCGAAUGCAAAGCCUCAUUCCCUGAGAGUGAACAUUGAAGGUCUGUCUCCCGAGAACAGACAAGAUACUCUGCCUUUCAGAACGCUUUGCCAUCCCGAGAGCAAAGCUUCGUCUUCGAGAGUAAAGAACUAAAAGCCUUGUCUCCUGAGACUUGAUCACCCGAAAAGCCGAGUCCCAAGGCCCUACAUUCUGAGAUAGACUAGCACCAGGCCAGAGACUACGCGGUCAAAGAUUGAUCCAGCACCCGAUACCAGCCUGGAACAGGACAUCGGAACCUUAUCUCCCGAACGCAGACUAUGGGGUCAAGAGUAGAGCCUCGCUAUCCAGCCCCCAGUGCGGUCAGGCAUCCAGCCUGAAGAAAAUCAAAAAGCCCUUUUUAAGCUGAAGAAUACCAGGUCGUAUGAUGCUAGUUCAUGCAUGUAUGAGAUGUUAAGAGCACAGACAUGUUAAUACAUAUGUUUAGUGUGUGAAAUGUUAAGACAUAUAACAUAUUGAUAAUUGAUAAGAUUAGGAAAUGUUAAUGUGAAAGCCCCUCCCCAUACUUGAAAGACCCCCAUGUCCGCAUACUAUGUUAAACUCUGCUGAAACUUAACUGAGCCAUAGAAAGAAAGCCCCCAGGCUCAGCUAAUGACUCUGCGAAAUUUAGCUGGGCCAUAGAAGAAAAGUCCCCCUUGCCCAGCCGAUGCUAAAACAGGAUAUCUAUGGGUUGCAGACUCACUGACUAGGCUGAGGAGAGGGAGUACCACACCCCCAAGGCAUUCUAUUGAAACUGUCAACUUGGUGCAGGGUUCUCUAUCUAGCUUUGUGGUUUUUCGGGGAAAUUUGAGAAUAGACAUGGGGCCCUUCCUGGGGUGAGCUAAGCCCGCCAAUUUGAGAACCAAUGAAAUGCUUGCUAUACAGCUUCUUAUGUAACUCUCAAAUCCCUAUAAAUACAUAAUGUGCCUUCAGCCCGGCAUGCUCAGUAACUUGGUUGCUGUAGCAUCCGCAGGCACCUGUGUAUCCAAUAAACUACCUCAUGCUUUUGCAUCCAG